RNAcentral lists this ribosomal RNA (253 nucleotides) under uncultured bacterium. Its description in RNAcentral is "partial 16S ribosomal RNA". It matches the Rfam family "Bacterial small subunit ribosomal RNA", at positions 524 to 776 of the family's 1533-position model. The record is from RNAcentral.
UACGUAGGGUGCAAGCGUUGUCCGGAAUUAUUGGGCGUAAAGAGCUCGUAGGCGGUCUGUCACGUCGGCUGUGAAAUCCCGAGGCUCAACCUCGGGUCUGCAGUCGAUACGGGCAAACUAGAGUAUUGCAGGGGAGACUGGAAUUCCUGGUGUAGCGGUGAAAUGCGCAGAUAUCAGGAAGAACACCCGUGGCGAAGGCGGCUCUCUGGGACGGUACUGACGCUGAGACGCGAAAGCGUGGGGAGCGAACAGG